GGAGAAAAGCAGGGGAUCGCAAGACCUUGCGCUCUUGGAGCGGCCGAUGCCUGAUUAGCUAGUUGGUGAGGUAAAGGCUUACCAAGGCGACGAUCAGUAGCUGGUCUGAGAGGACGACCAGCCACACUGGGACUGAGACACGGCCCAGACUCCUACGGGAGGCAGCAGUGGGGAAUUUUGGACAAUGGGGGAAACCCUGAUCCAGCCAUGCCGCGUGAGUGAAGAAGGCCUUCGGGUUGUAAAGCUCUUUCAGCCGGAACGAAACGGUCACGGCUAAUACCUGUGACUACUGACGGUACCGGAAGAAGAAGCACCGGCUAACUAGGUGCCAGCAGCCGCGGUAAUACGUAGGGUGCAAGCGUUAAUCGGAAUUACUGGGCGUAAAGCGUGCGCAGGCGGUUUUGUAAGUCAGAUGUGAAAUCCCCGGGCUUAACCUGGGAACUGCGUUUGAAACUACAAGGCUAG
Molecule: ribosomal RNA, 465 nt
Filed under: uncultured bacterium
Lineage: Bacteria
Description: bacterial SSU rRNA
Rfam family: Bacterial small subunit ribosomal RNA
Source: RNAcentral